RNAcentral lists this long non-coding RNA (404 nucleotides) under Gallus gallus (chicken). Lineage: Eukaryota; Metazoa; Chordata; Aves; Galliformes; Phasianidae. The record is from RNAcentral.
UGAAAGAGUACCGGUACCAGGUAUAAAUGUCUUUUCUAAAUGCCUCUAACGUAGAGUAACUUUUAAAUGCAAUUCUUAAAAUCGGCCAAAGAACUGAGUAACCAGUUGUACAACUCAGCGUGGAAUUCACUAUCAAAAGUGGCAGUUCUGGGGGAAAGGUUUUAUUUCAGAUGCCACAAAGGGAGGCUUUAUAUGUAGAUUAUCCCCCGCUCGCAUCCCUGGGGUUGGACAAGGGGAGCGGAGCCAGGAGGCUGUCUGCAUGGCAUUGCUUUGUCAGUGGCGUAAGGUACCGCAUAAGGACAGAAUGCUGACUGAGCGGGACGGGGAGAGGCUGCGGAGUGUCGGAGAUGUGCAGGAGUGCACGAGUAGCUCAGCUGUCUGCUUCUGAGAUUCGUGUGGUGCCG